AGGACGAACGCUGGCGGCGCGCUUAACACAUGCAAGUCGAACGGUUUUCAGGAUUUCGGUCCUGGGAGCAAUGGCGAACGGGUGCGUAACACGUGAGCGACCUGCCGAAGUGUGGGGGACAACCGGUGGAAACGCCGGCUAAUACCGCAUGAUGCGGUUGGGCUUCCUGGCCCGACCGCCAAAGGUGCUGUAAGGCACUGCGCUUCGAGGGGCUCGCGGGUAUCAGGUAGUUGGUGAGGUAAUGGCUCACCAAGGCGACGAUCAGUAGCUGGUCUGAGAGGAUGACCAGCCACAUUGGGACUGAGACACGGUCCCAAACUCCGUACGGGAGGCAGCAGGUGGGGAAUCGUUGCGCAAGUGGGUAGAAAGCCUAGACGCAGCCAGUCGCCGCGUGAAUGAUGAAGUUCGUUAGGAUUAGUAAAAUUCGUUACGACCGGG
Molecule: ribosomal RNA, 438 nt
Filed under: uncultured soil bacterium
Lineage: Bacteria
Description: bacterial SSU rRNA
Rfam family: Bacterial small subunit ribosomal RNA
Source: RNAcentral